Phacochoerus africanus (Common warthog) is the source of this 1420-nucleotide long non-coding RNA. RefSeq lists it as uncharacterized. Lineage: Eukaryota; Metazoa; Chordata; Mammalia; Artiodactyla; Suidae. The record is from RefSeq and is a predicted model, not a curated record. The transcript has 3 exons.
GUUUUGGCUGAGAGAGGACUGCAGCUGCUCAAGGGUUUCCUUUGCUGUGCAGACGGUGUGACUGUUGUAUGCACUGAACAAUGCCUGCACAAGACAGUAUGCAAUAAUCCCAGUGAUGCUUCAUUGUUUUUCAUUAUUGCACUGGCAACUAACUGUACAUGCUCCAUUUCUCAUGCCAUCAUCCUAAUGAAGAAAUACUUUCAAACAGUGGAAUGGACCAUGUGCUUUAUCUUAGCCUAACUGAAGGCUGUUGGAUGAAAAGUGAUAAGCUGUUGCCUGACGUUUUCUAAAACUAUUUUUAUUUCUUGUACCUGGGUGUAAAAUGUGGAUACAUCUACUUAUUUAUAGUAAUUUUUAAGGUUCUGGAUAAGUAUCUUCUACAAGGAAUACAAUUUCCAGGUCUUAGAAAUGAUUCAGCCUAGUAUUUACUAAAAAGAUUCAAAUAUAUCCGUUGAACAAAUGAAUAAAACAGCAAGCAUGGAAUUGGAUACUACCACAUAGAAAUGUGGUUUGUCAUUUCUGAGAGCUGGGGGUUUCAGGGUAUGUGAUGAGAAUGACAUAAAGAUGCAGUUUGAUCACAGACAGAUUUCAGUCUGGAGAGGAGCAGAGCUAUAUCCACACUAUACACCCUUGUCCCCAUCUUCUUUAGCAUCGUCUUGGAGUUGGUCUAUGGCAUACUAUAGUCUUUGAAAAAUUCUGUCUUAAAGAAUUCCAUUACCAUAAUCUGUGUGUUAGAAGUCUCAAUGAUAAACAAAAGGCUAAGGAGUAGGUUUGUUUGAGUUGAGAGGAUGCUAGUUCACAAGUGUUCAUGUGUAUAUAUAUAAAAUUAUCAGAAAUGAUGCACUUUGGUGCUUUGCUUCCUUCUCUGUGUCCCCUCAUGAAUACUUCCAGAAGUAUUAGUUCCUGGUUUAGGAAGGGUAUAAUUUAAAAGGGGGAAGAAACAUUUUGACAUUUUAAUAAAUCCUAUUAAUAAACUGACAUUUGGUUUUACAAAUAAACUUGGGAUUUCCAAAUACCUGAUUUUUAACUGAAAGGUACUAUACUUGAGCUUGCUAUCAGGAAAACGCAUUGAGAAAAUGCCAGAUGCAUAAAGUUCUGGUGUUCUCCCUUUAGGUAUGUUUUAUUAUUACCAUGUUGUACUCUGACCUGUAUGUAAAUAUUCCUGCUCAUUCCAAGGUCUAAAAAACCUGCUACAAAUAGGCCGCCACUGGGCUAAGAACCUUUGAGUUCUAAAAUGACUCUAUGGAGCAAUGUAUAUGAAGGUAGGCCAUGCAUAGUCAUGCAGAAAUGUUAAGGAGUUUCUCCUUAUGUAUGCACAACUGGAGGCAUUGCUCUUCUUUGCCUAAGAUUUAUAUUUCUGCUGUAUCAAAAUAAUCUUUUAGUUAAGGGCUAUCCGGAAACUUUAUUUUUAAAAGCUUGG